Molecule: ribosomal RNA, 440 nt
Filed under: uncultured bacterium
Lineage: Bacteria
Description: partial 16S ribosomal RNA
Rfam family: Bacterial small subunit ribosomal RNA
Source: RNAcentral
CCUACGGGAGGCAGCAGUGGGGAAUAUUGCACAAUGGGGGAAACUCUGAUGCAGCGACGCCGCGUGAGUGAAGAAGUAUUUCGGUAUGGAAAGCUGUAUCAGCAGGGAAGAAAAUUACGGUACGUGAUUAAGAAGCCCCGGCUAACUACGUGCCAGCAGCCGCGGUAAUACGUAGGGGGCAAGCGUUAUCCGGAUUUACUGGGUGUAAAGGGAGCGUAGAGGGCAGCACAAGUCUGGAGUGAAAUGCCGGGGCUUAACCCCGGAACUGCUUUGGUAACCGUGCAGCUAGAGUGCAGGAGAGGUAAGUGGAAUUCCUGGUGUAGCGGUGAAAUGCGUAGAUAUUAGGAGGAACACCAGUGGCGAAGGCGGCUUACUGGACUGUAACUGACGUUGAGGCUCGAAAGCGUGGGGAGCAAACAGGAUUAGAUACCCGAGUAGUC